UGCAUUCGAAACUGGCAGGCUAGAGUCUUGUAGAGGGGGGUAGAAUUCCAGGUGUAGCGGUGAAAUGCGUAGAGAUCUGGAGGAAUACCGGUGGCGAAGGCGGCCCCCUGGACAAAGACUGACGCUCAGGUGCGAAAGCGUGGGGAGCAAACAGGAUUAGAUACCCUGGUAGUCCACGCCGUAAACGAUGUCGAUUUGGAGGUUGUGCCCUUGAGGCGUGGCUUCCGGAGCUAACGCGUUAAAUCGACCGCCUGGGGAGUACGGCCGCAAGGUUAAAACUCAAAUGAAUUGACGGGGGCCCGCACAAGCGGUGGAGCAUGUGGUUUAAUUCGAUGCAACGCGAAGAACCUUACCUGGUCUUGACAUCCACAGAACUUNUUGGUGCCUUCGGGAACUGUGAGACAGGUGCUGCAUGGCUGUCGUCAGCUCGUGUUGUGAAAUGUUGGGUUAAGUCCCGCAACGAGCGCAACCCUUAUCCUUUGUUGCCAGCGGUCCGGCCGGGAACUCAAAGGAGACUGCCAGUGAUAAACUGGAGGAAGGUGGGGAUGACGUCAAGUCAUCAUGGCCCUUACGACCAGGGCUACACACGUGCUACAAUGGCAUAUACAAAGAGAAGCGACCUCGCGAGAGCAAGCGGACCUCAUAAAGUAUGUCGUAGUCCGGAUUGGAGUCUGCAACUCGACUCCAUGAAGUCGGAAUCGCUAGUAAUCGUAGAUCAGAAUGCUACGGUGAAUACGUUCCCGGGCCUUGUACACACCGCCCGUCACACCAUGGGAGUGGGUUGCAAAAGAAGUAGGUAGCUUAACCUUCGGGAGGGCGCUUACCACUUUGUGAUUCAUGACUGGGGUGAAGUCGUAACAAGGUAACCGUAGGGGAACCUGCGGUUGGAUCACCU
Molecule: ribosomal RNA, 895 nt
Filed under: Klebsiella pneumoniae
Lineage: Bacteria; Pseudomonadati; Pseudomonadota; Gammaproteobacteria; Enterobacterales; Enterobacteriaceae
Description: bacterial SSU rRNA
Rfam family: Bacterial small subunit ribosomal RNA
Source: RNAcentral